GACGAACGCUGGCGGCGUGCUUAACGCAUGCAAGUCGAACGGAAAGGCCCUGCUUGCAGGGUACUCGAGUGGCGAACGGGUGAGUAACACGUGGGUGAUCUGCCCUGCACUUCGGGAUAAGCCUGGGAAACUGGGUCUAAUACCGGAUAGGAGCCAUUUUUAGUGUGAUGGUUGGAAAGUUUUUUCGGUGUAGGAUGAGCUCGCGGCCUAUCAGCUUGUUGGUGGGGUAAUGGCCUACCAAGGCGGCGACGGGUAGCCGGCCUGAGAGGGUGGACGGCCACAUUGGGACUGAGAUACGGCCCAGACUCCUACGGGAGGCAGCAGUGGGGAAUAUUGCACAAUGGGCGCAAGCCUGAUGCAGCGACGCCGCGUGGGGGAUGACGGCCUUCGGGUUGUAAACUCCCUUCGCUAGGGACGAAGCUUUUUGUGACGGUACCUAGAUAAGAAGCACCGGCUAACUACGUG
Molecule: ribosomal RNA, 465 nt
Filed under: uncultured bacterium
Lineage: Bacteria
Description: partial 16S ribosomal RNA
Rfam family: Bacterial small subunit ribosomal RNA
Source: RNAcentral